RNAcentral lists this ribosomal RNA (1688 nucleotides) under Salmonella enterica subsp. enterica serovar Bareilly str. CFSAN000236. RNAcentral describes it as "bacterial LSU rRNA". It matches the Rfam family "Bacterial large subunit ribosomal RNA", at positions 1271 to 2925 of the family's 2925-position model. Lineage: Bacteria; Pseudomonadati; Pseudomonadota; Gammaproteobacteria; Enterobacterales; Enterobacteriaceae. The record is from RNAcentral. RNAcentral also lists the same sequence under 1 other name.
UGCUGGAGGUAUCAGAAGUGCGAAUGCUGACAUAAGUAACGAUAAAGCGGGUGAAAAGCCCGCUCGCCGGAAGACCAAGGGUUCCUGUCCAACGUUAAUCGGGGCAGGGUGAGUCGACCCCUAAGGCGAGGCCGAAAGGCGUAGUCGAUGGGAAACGGGUUAAUAUUCCCGUACUUGGUGUUACUGCGAAGGGGGGACGGAGAAGGCUAUGUUGGCCGGGCGACGGUUGUCCCGGUUUAAGCGUGUAGGUGUGUGUUCCAGGUAAAUCCGGUUCACUUUAACACUGAGGCGUGAUGACGAGGCACUACGGUGCUGAAGCAACAAAUGCCCUGCUUCCAGGAAAAGCCUCUAAGCAUCAGGUAACAUCAAAUCGUACCCCAAACCGACACAGGUGGUCAGGUAGAGAAUACCAAGGCGCUUGAGAGAACUCGGGUGAAGGAACUAGGCAAAAUGGUGCCGUAACUUCGGGAGAAGGCACGCUGACACGUAGGUGAAGUGAUUUACUCAUGGAGCUGAAGUCAGUCGAAGAUACCAGCUGGCUGCAACUGUUUAUUAAAAACACAGCACUGUGCAAACACGAAAGUGGACGUAUACGGUGUGACGCCUGCCCGGUGCCGGAAGGUUAAUUGAUGGGGUCAGCGCAAGCGAAGCUCCUGAUCGAAGCCCCGGUAAACGGCGGCCGUAACUAUAACGGUCCUAAGGUAGCGAAAUUCCUUGUCGGGUAAGUUCCGACCUGCACGAAUGGCGUAAUGAUGGCCAGGCUGUCUCCACCCGAGACUCAGUGAAAUUGAACUCGCUGUGAAGAUGCAGUGUACCCGCGGCAAGACGGAAAGACCCCGUGAACCUUUACUAUAGCUUGACACUGAACAUUGAGCCUUGAUGUGUAGGAUAGGUGGGAGGCUUUGAAGUGUGGACGCCAGUCUGCAUGGAGCCGACCUUGAAAUACCACCCUUUAAUGUUUGAUGUUCUAACGUGGACCCGUGAUCCGGGUUGCGGACAGUGUCUGGUGGGUAGUUUGACUGGGGCGGUCUCCUCCUAAAGAGUAACGGAGGAGCACGAAGGUUGGCUAAUCCUGGUCGGACAUCAGGAGGUUAGUGCAAUGGCAUAAGCCAGCUUGACUGCGAGCGUGACGGCGCGAGCAGGUGCGAAAGCAGGUCAUAGUGAUCCGGUGGUUCUGAAUGGAAGGGCCAUCGCUCAACGGAUAAAAGGUACUCCGGGGAUAACAGGCUGAUACCGCCCAAGAGUUCAUAUCGACGGCGGUGUUUGGCACCUCGAUGUCGGCUCAUCACAUCCUGGGGCUGAAGUAGGUCCCAAGGGUAUGGCUGUUCGCCAUUUAAAGUGGUACGCGAGCUGGGUUUAGAACGUCGUGAGACAGUUCGGUCCCUAUCUGCCGUGGGCGCUGGAGAACUGAGGGGGGCUGCUCCUAGUACGAGAGGACCGGAGUGGACGCAUCACUGGUGUUCGGGUUGUCAUGCCAAUGGCACUGCCCGGUAGCUAAAUGCGGAAGAGAUAAGUGCUGAAAGCAUCUAAGCACGAAACUUGCCCCGAGAUGAGUUCUCCCUGAGACUUAGAGUCUCCUGAAGGAACGUUGAAGACGACGACGUUGAUAGGCCGGGUGUGUAAGCGCAGCGAUGCGUUGAGCUAACCGGUACUAAUGAACCGUGAGGCUUAACCUUACAACGCCGAAG